GGUGCUGUGGCGGAGUGGUUAACGCGAUUGACUUGAACUGCCUUGUUCACGAUCAAUUUCCCUAGUGGAGCGCAUGUUCGAACCAUGCCAGCAUCG
Molecule: transfer RNA, 96 nt
Organism: Trichosporon asahii var. asahii CBS 8904
Lineage: Eukaryota; Fungi; Basidiomycota; Tremellomycetes; Trichosporonales; Trichosporonaceae
Rfam family: tRNA
About the family: Transfer RNA (tRNA) molecules are approximately 80 nucleotides in length. Their secondary structure includes four short double-helical elements and three loops (D, anti-codon, and T loops). Further hydrogen bonds mediate the characteristic L-shaped molecular structure. tRNAs have two regions of fundamental functional importance: the anti-codon, which is responsible for specific mRNA codon recognition, and the 3' end, to which the tRNAs corresponding amino acid is attached (by aminoacyl-tRNA synthetases). tRNAs cope with the degeneracy of the genetic code in two manners: having more than one tRNA (with a specific anti-codon) for a particular amino acid; and 'wobble' base-pairing, i.e. permitting non-standard base-pairing at the 3rd anti-codon position.
Source: Rfam